Molecule: ribosomal RNA, 395 nt
Filed under: Bacillus sp. enrichment culture
Lineage: Bacteria; Bacillati; Bacillota; Bacilli; Caryophanales; Bacillaceae
Description: partial 16S ribosomal RNA
Rfam family: Bacterial small subunit ribosomal RNA
Source: RNAcentral
CAAUGGRCGAAARUCYSACGGAGCAACACCSCGUGAGUGAUGAARGCUUUYGGGUMGUAAAACUCUGUUGUUANGGAARAACAAGUGCUAGUUGAAUAAGCUGGCACCUUGACGGUACCUAACCAGAAARCCACGGCUAACUACGUGCCAGCAMCCGCGGUAAUACGUAGGUGGCAAGCGUUAUCCGGAAUUAUUGGGCGUAAAGCGCGCGCAGGUGGUYUCUUAAGUCUGAUGUGAAAGCCCACGGCUCAACCGUGGAGGGUCAUUGGAAACUGGGAGACUUGAGUGCAGAAGAGGAAAGUGGAAUUCCAYGUGUAGCGGUGAAAUGCGUAGAGAUAUGGAGGAACACCAGUGGCGAAGGCGACUUUCUGGUCUGUAACUGACRCUGAGCGCGA